Long non-coding RNA from Oncorhynchus keta (chum salmon), 3136 nucleotides. RefSeq lists it as uncharacterized. The transcript has 5 exons. Lineage: Eukaryota; Metazoa; Chordata; Actinopteri; Salmoniformes; Salmonidae. The record is from RefSeq and is a predicted model, not a curated record.
CCCCCAUAUGGAGUCAUUUACAACAGUUUGAAUCAAAUAUGUGUUGUUGUGUCUGUAAAGGUGGUGGCCUGUCUGGUGUCUGUAAAGGUGGUGGUCUGUCUGGUGUCUGUAAAGGUGGUGGCCUGUCUGGUGUCUGUAAAGGUGGUGGCCUGUCUGGUGUGUGUAAAGGUGGUGGCCUGUCUGGUGUCUGUAAAGGUGGUGGCCUGUCUGGUGUCUGUAAAGGUGGUGGCCUGUCUGGUGUCUGUAAAGGUGGUGGCCCGUCUGGUGUCUGUAAAGGUGGUGGCCCGUCUGGUGUCUGUAAAGGUGGUGGCCCGUCUGGUGUCUGUAAAGGUGGUGGCCCGUCUGGUGUCUGUAAAGGUGGUGGCCCGUCUGGUGUCUGUAAAGGUGGUGGCCUGUCUGGUGUCUGUAAAGGUGGUGGCCUGUCUGGUGUCUGGUGUCUGUAAAGGUGGUGGUCUGUCUGGUGUCUGUAAAGGUGGUGGCCUGUCUGGUGUGUGUAAAGGUGGUGGCCUGUCUGGUGUCUGUAAAGGUGGUGGCCCGUCUGGUGUCUGUAAAGGUGGUGGCCCGUCUGGUGUCUGUAAAGGUGGUGGCCUGUCUGGUGUCUGUAAAGGUGGUGGCCUGUCUGGUGUCUGUAAAGGUGGUGGUCUGUCUGGUGUCUGUAAAGGUGGUGGCCUGUCUGGUGUCUGUAAAGGUGGUGGCCUGUCUGGUGUCUGUAAAGGUGGUGGCCUGUCUGGUGUCUGUAAAGGUGGUGGCCUGUCUGGUGUCUGUAAAGGUGGUGGCCUGUCUGGUGUCUGUAAAGGUGGUGGCCUGUCUGGUGUCUGUAAAGGUGGUGGUCUGUCUGGUCUGUAAAUGUGAUGUAGUGGUCUGUGACUGGUCUGAAAAGGUGAUGUGAUGGUUGGUCUGUAAAGAUGAUGUGAUGGUUGGUCUGUAAAGGUGAUGUCUGGUCUGUAAAGGUGAUGUCUAGUCUGUAAAGGUGAUGUGAUGGUUGGUCUGUAAAGAUGAUGUGAUGGUUGGUCUGUAAAGGUGAUGUCUGGUCUGUAAAGGUGAUGUCUAGUCUGUAAAGGUGAUGUGAUGGUUGGUCUGUAAAAGUGAUGUGAUGUCUGGUCUGUAAAGGUGAUGUGACGGUUGGUCUGUAAAGGUGAUGUCUAGUCUGUAAAGGUGAUGUGAUGGUUGGUCUGUAAAGGUGAUGUCUGGUCUGUAAAGGUGAUGUGAUGGAUGGUUGGUCUGUAAAGGUGAUGGUUGGUCUGUAAAGAUGAUGGUUGGUCUGUAAAGAUGAUGUCUAGUCUGUAAAGGUGAUGUGAUGGUUGGUCUGUAAAGGUGAUGUGAUGGUUGGUCUGUAAAGGUGAUGUGAUGGUUGGUCUGUAAAGGUGAUGUGAUGGAUGGUUGGUCUGUAAAGGUGAUGUGAUGGAUGGUUGGUCUGUAAAGGUGAUGUCUAGUCUGUAAAGGUGAUGUGAUGGUUGGUCUGUAAAGGUGAUGUCUGGUCUGUAAAGGUGAUGUGAUGGAUGGUUGGUCUGUAAAGGUGAUGGUUGGUCUGUAAAGAUGAUGGUUGGUCUGUAAAGGUGAUGUGAUGGUUGGUCUGUAAAGGUGAUGUGAUGGUUGGUCUGUAAAGGUGAUGUGAUGGUUGGUCUGUAAAGGUGAUGUGAUGGAUGGUUGGUCUGUAAAGGUGAUGUGAUGGAUGGUUGGUCUGUAAAGGUGAUGUGAUGGAUGGUUGGUCUGUAAAGGUGAUGUCUGGUCUGUAAAGGUGAUGUCUGGUCUGUAAAGGUGAUGUCUAGUCUGUAAAGGUGAUGUGAUGUCUGGUCUGUAAAGGUGAUGUGACGGUUGGUCUGUAAAGGUGAUGUCUAGUCUGUAAAGGUGAUGUGAUGGUUGGUCUGUAAAGGUGAUGUCUGGUCUGUAAAGGUGAUGUGAUGGAUGGUUGGUCUGUAAAGGUGAUGGUUGGUCUGUAAAGAUGAUGGUUGGUCUGUAAAGAUGAUGUCUAGUCUGUAAAGGUGAUGUGAUGGUUGGUCUGUAAAGGUGAUGUGAUGGUUGGUCUGUAAAGGUGAUGUGAUGGUUGGUCUGUAAAGGUGAUGUGAUGGAUGGUUGGUCUGUAAAGGUGAUGUGAUGGAUGGUUGGUCUGUAAAGGUGAUGUCUAGUCUGUAAAGGUGAUGUGAUGGUUGGUCUGUAAAGGUGAUGUCUGGUCUGUAAAGGUGAUGUGAUGGAUGGUUGGUCUGUAAAGGUGAUGGUUGGUCUGUAAAGAUGAUGGUUGGUCUGUAAAGGUGAUGUGAUGGUUGGUCUGUAAAGGUGAUGUGAUGGUUGGUCUGUAAAGGUGAUGUGAUGGAUGGUUGGUCUGUAAAGGUGAUGUGAUGGAUGGUUGGUCUGUAAAGGUGAUGUCUGGUCUGUAAAGGUGAUGUCUGGUCUGUAAAGGUGAUGUCUAGUCUGUAAAGGUGAUGUGAUGGUUGGUCUGUAAAGGUGAUGUGAUGGUUGGUCUGUAAAGGUGAUGUGAUGGUUGGUCUGUAAAGGUGAUGUGAUGGAUGGUUGGUCUGUAAAGGUGAUGUGAUGGAUGGUUGGUCUGUAAAGGUGAUGUCUGGUCUGUAAAGGUGAUGUCUGGUCUGUAAAGGUGAUGUCUAGUCUGUAAAGGUGAUGUGAUGGUUGGUCUGUAAAGGUGAUGUGAUGGUUGGUCUGUAAAGGUGAUGUGAUGGUUGGUCUGUAAAGGUGAUGUGAUGGUUGGUCUGUAAAGGUGAUGUGAUGGUUGGUCUGUAAAGGUGAUGUGAUGGUUGGUCUGUAAAGGUGAUGUGAUGGUUGGUCUGUAAAGGUGAUGUGAUGGUUGGUCUGUAAAGGUGAUGUGAUGGUUGGUCUGUAAAGGUGAUGUGAUGGUUGGUCUGUAAAGGUGAUGUGAUGGUUGGUCUGUAAAGGUGAUGUGAUGGUUGGUCUGUAAAGGUGAUGUGAUGGUUGGUCUGUAAAGGUGAUGUGAUGGUUGGUCUGUAAAGGUGAUGUGAUGGUUGGUCUGUAAAGGUGAUGUGAUGGUUGGUCUGUAAAGGUGAUGUGAUGGUUGGUCUGUAAAGGUGAUGUGAUGGUUGGUCUGUAAAGGUGAUGUGAUGGUUGGUCUGUAAAGGUGAUGUCUGGUCUGUAAAGGUGAUGGUUGGUCUGUAAAGGUGAUGUCUAG